AGCCCUGCUGCUUCUGCCCGGCCCCUGCCACUAUUUCCCCCUCACUGCUAUUUUCCCUUUACCACCGGGUGUGUGUGUGAGCAGAGCAAGCCGCCAUCACCACCAACAGUGGCAGGGGCUUCCACAGGUGGGCCUCUUCAGCCUGCACAGACUGGCCUGCACAGUCUGGCCUCACAGCACUUCAUACUCCUACUGCACAUACUUCAUACUCCUACUGCACAUGCACACAGGCCGAGGAGGCCUGCCUGUACCUGCCUCCAGGAGGAGUGGCCUGCUCCACUCAGCUCAUACACCCCCCCAGUGGUGAAGAGAGGAAAUACCGGCGAGUGGAGACCAGGGGGAAAUAGAGGCGGUGCGCAGGGUAGGGGCCAGGCAGCAGAUCAGAGAGGUCCUGAACCAGGAUUUCUAAGGUAUACAUCAAUGGCUCACAAUAUUGAUUCAACAAAUGGAAAAGUCAUCAUUUUUCCAAGAUGGAACAUCGCCUUACUUCAGCAUCUGGGUCCAUACUGUCCAUGGCAACAGAUCAAUAUCUUCAGUAUCAACUUCUGGCUGACACCUGCCUGUUUACACACUGAGCUGCAGCCACAAUUUUAUAUUUUGGGCCUGCCACUGGGCUCACUCCUCUGGUCUUGGAUCACAGCUGGGUUGCAGUGAGUUUGCUGAAGGCAUGCCACUCAAGAGGUGAGAAAUGUUGUGAAGCAGUUUGCUGCCACUCCUCGACCAGCACUACUGCUGCAGGCGGGCACUUUAAGUCAAUUGUUCAACCAAUUGGCAACAAUCUUGAGUUGUUGAAGGGUAAAGCCUUGGUUUUGCAGGCUCGGCUCAGCCCAAUUUCCAAAGCAAAGCAAGGCAAAUCUUUAUUACUGCCUUAGACCAGCAGAAGAAACACAAUACAAAUUACAAAUUAAACCAUAGAAUAUAAAACUUGUGUAGUGAUCAGCCACCUCUCUCCUAAAGAGUUAACCAGAAGUGAACCCUGUCCUGACUGACAGGCUGGUGAACACCAGUGAUCAGUCAAUCAGCCACACCAGGUGGCUGGGACCUAGAGAGCCAUUGGUAGGAAGGAGAGAUCCUUUAUUAGAAGAAGCAGGCUGGGGGCAAGAACAGCACAUGUGGCCAGGGAGGAUGGCUGCAAGGAGGCUGACUGCAGCUCUUGGAAGAUAGAACUGCAGGGGCUUGAAUUCUCAUCUAUGAUUUAGUGAGUUCAAGACAAAGGAAGCCAGGGUUUUGGCUUCAGGAAGUUUAGUCUAGGGAAAGUUUGUUUAGUCAGAUUUUGCAUUAGACUUUCUGUUUCUUUGGUGUGUGCUUUGUAUACCCCUGAAACUGUUCUAUGAUUGUUUACCUGUAAUGUAACUAAACUAAGAAACACUAGCCUUCGUCCAUUCAGCCAGGGUGUUGCAAAAGAGACUGGAAGCUUUUAAAGGUGCUUUUGUAUUUCCCUACAUACCUGUUCCUUGCAACUGGGUAACCACGAAUUUAAAGUGUGCAGCCCCAACAUCAUUUGGGGUGCUUUUUGAAGUAUUAUUGUAAUCUACUGAGUAUAUUUACCUGUAACUAAAAGCUAGCUGGGAGAGCUUCAGACAGAAGCAGACUGUAGCAUUUGAAUAAACUUGUUUUGUCUUUUU
Hemicordylus capensis (graceful crag lizard) is the source of this 1625-nucleotide long non-coding RNA. RefSeq lists it as uncharacterized. Lineage: Eukaryota; Metazoa; Chordata; Lepidosauria; Squamata; Cordylidae. The record is from RefSeq and is a predicted model, not a curated record. The transcript has 3 exons.